This 603-nucleotide ribosomal RNA is filed under the name Triticum aestivum (bread wheat). Its description in RNAcentral is "partial small subunit ribosomal RNA". Lineage: Eukaryota; Viridiplantae; Streptophyta; Magnoliopsida; Poales; Poaceae. The record is from RNAcentral.
AUGGGGCUGAUUGCUGCAGAUAGAACUGAGCAAAAAGAGCUUAGAUUGCAGCUGAAAAUAAUUAUGACACAAGAAGAAAUGAAGUGGAUUCAGAGAUAUAAAGACAAAGGAAUAAGAGAUGGAGAUGGAAACACUAGAUACUAUCAUGCAAAAGUGAAUGGGAGAAGAAGGAAAAACAGAAUAAUUUCUUUAGAACAAGAUGAAGGAAUUAUAGAAGGGGAUGAUAGUCUGAUGAAAUAUAUCACUAACUUCUAUAAAAAUCUUUUUGGGCAUCCCGAGGAAUCCAACAUAUCAUUGAAAGAGAUGGAAAUGGAAAAAAUAUCUGCACAAGAUAGGGAGGAAUUGUUGUCCCCCUUUUCCUUGGAUGAAAUUCAUCAAGUGGUCAUGGGGAUGAAAAGAAAUAAAAGCCCUGGACCUGAUGGAUUCCCUGCAGAAUUUUACCAGGAUUUCUGGGAUUUGGUUAAGUGGGAACUGAAAGCUUUAGUUGAGGGAUUUGCCAGGGGAAUAUCAAUAUUGCUAGGAUUAACUAUGGCAUCAUUACUCUGGUGCCUAAAACCAAUGAUGCCAAACAAAUACAAAAUUUCAGGCCUAUUUGCUUGUUAA